This is a long non-coding RNA of Octopus sinensis (East Asian common octopus), 746 nucleotides long. RefSeq lists it as uncharacterized. The transcript is spliced from 3 exons. The record is from RefSeq and is a predicted model, not a curated record. Lineage: Eukaryota; Metazoa; Mollusca; Cephalopoda; Octopoda; Octopodidae.
UGAAGCGACAGUGAGAAGUGACAGGGUAGUAUUUUAGAGCAGUAAAAGAGAAAAUGAAUUUAUAGCAAGAGAUAUAGGGUUUGGCGUGAAACUGAUAGAUAUUACACACUGAAAAAGAGAGAGAGAGUAAUAACAAAUUAGAAAGACAGAAAGAAACACAGGGAGAAAGAGAGGGAAGUUGGGAAGAAAUAGAGAGAGCGCGGUGGCGGAUUGAAAUGCACAACUACGUAGAAAGUCUAGUCGGUGAGAUGUAGUGAGAGGUUGCUGACUGUGGAAGUAGCUAUGGUGUCAUUCACUGAACCUUCUCCCUGGAGGAAUGAAACAGAAAACGUUGUGAGACAGGGGAAAAGAGGGGUUUUCAAGAGUAUUGCUUGGUCUGCCUACUGUACUGCUGCCUACGAAUAUUUUACUCCAGAUGAUGGAUUAAUUUGCGGUGAGAUUUGGUUGCUAUCUCUUGUAUAAGGUGAGAUUUGGUUGCUAUCUCUUGAUUGGAUCCAGAAAAAAGGUCACAAAAAAAAUCACAGAAAAAGAGUCACUGAAAAAAACAUUUACUGGAAAAAAAUCACUGUAAAAAUAUGUUUGUUGCCUCGGAAGAACCAGAAGACUAUGGCAAAGUUUCUUCAUGGCGUCGGCUGGAAUAUUCGUUUUAGUGAUCAAUUAACAUUAAAUAUACUAAAUAUACAUGUAAUGUUACGAUACUAUGUAAAAUGUUUUCAGGCCGUACAUCUCAUUUAUUGUCAAUAAAU